Molecule: small nuclear RNA, 20 nt
Filed under: Arabidopsis thaliana (thale cress)
Lineage: Eukaryota; Viridiplantae; Streptophyta; Magnoliopsida; Brassicales; Brassicaceae
Description: snRNA_16275
Source: RNAcentral
AAGCCAAUGAUUAGAGGCAU